This 967-nucleotide long non-coding RNA is filed under the name Brachypodium distachyon (stiff brome). RNAcentral describes it as "long non-coding RNA (BDIS_LNC005297)". Lineage: Eukaryota; Viridiplantae; Streptophyta; Magnoliopsida; Poales; Poaceae. The record is from RNAcentral.
CCCAUAUCGCCCGUUCUCAAGUCUCGACGAAUUUUCACGCAGCCUGCAACUGAAUCAUCUCCCUGGCCCUCCCUCUUCACUAUUGACGGUGCAAGUUUAAGGUAAGUGACCAGCAGGUGCCUUAGCUUAUGUACAUGCUCCAAAAUUAUCUAGCUAGCAUUUUGUCUUUAAAAAUCCACCGGUCGAUAUGCUUUUAUGGACGAUAUGCUUUAGCUCCACUAGUUCUCAUUGAAGAUCCCAACACUAGCUAGUUAAUGCCAUCGUCUCCUGCCAACACUCCCAACGGUUGAACUCAGUUAAUGAUAAUUGAUGAAGAUCGUUCUGUGGCCGAAGGAGACUAGAUUGGCAGGUCUACCUCACAUCUUUUUGCAUUUUUUUGCUUUUCCCAUUGUUUUUCGGGGAGCCAUCUUAGCUUCCUUUUGUACAAUAGAUCGACCAUUCCCUUCAAAAUACAAUUGACGAAGAUCCGAACUCUGAAGUGGCACUAUGCUGGUGUGGCCCCGCAUGAAAGAAGCGCCCAAGACUGGAUAGGAGUUCACUAGCCAACACUCGAAGGACCAGAAAGUGAACAAUCAAUGGGGGAGACUGGCGGAUGUGGUCGCACAGGUAACGUAACCCAACUCAUUCGUUGGGAUCAAAUUGCUGAUGCCUCGCGUGCCUACGCUCAGUGUAAUCCAGGAUAUUGUAUGAUCUUUGCUUGGUACUGUUAUUUUCUGGGCCUCUUGCCUCUAUCCGAACCUAAUUCUGAAUUAAUUUGCUGGUUGCUUUCUUCCACUGGUUCCUCUUCAUAUUUAUCACCUCAUAUUGGCGUAGUAUACCAACCAUCUUCGAUUCAUAAAAAAUGUCGCUCACUAAAUACAAAAUUUAUACUAACUUAGUAGAAAAUGGACGACUUUUUUUAUGGAUCGGAGGGAGCAGACACUGGUACUAGUUUGAUAUAUAGCAUAGGCCAACUACUGCGCUGCUA